UGGGGAAUAUUGCACAAUGGGCGCAAGCCUGAUGCAGCCAUGCCGCGUGUAUGAAGAAGGCCUUCGUGUUGUAAAGUACUUUCAGUCGGGAGGAAGGUGGUAAGGUUAAUAACCUUAUCAAUUGACGUUACCGACAGAAGAAGCACCGGCUAACUCCGUGCCAGCAGCCGCGGUAAUACGGAGGGUGCAAGCGUUAAUCGGAAUUACUGGGCGUAAAGCGCACGCAGGCGGUUGAUUGAGUCAGAUGUGAAAUCCCCGGGCUUAACCCGGGAAUUGCAUCUGAUACUGGUCAGCUAGAGUCUUGUAGAGGGGGGUAGAAUUCCAUGUGUAGCGGUGAAAUGCGUAGAGAUGUGGAGGAAUACCGGUGGCGAAGGCGGCCCCCUGGACAAAGACUGACGCUCAGGUGCGAAAGCGUGGGGAGCAAACAGG
This 429-nucleotide ribosomal RNA is filed under the name Chloroflexota bacterium. RNAcentral describes it as "Chloroflexi bacterium partial 16S ribosomal RNA". It matches the Rfam family "Bacterial small subunit ribosomal RNA", at positions 355 to 776 of the family's 1533-position model. Lineage: Bacteria; Bacillati; Chloroflexota. The record is from RNAcentral.